UUAAGCAAAGAAGAGCGCAGGGUGGAUGCCUUGGCACUGAGAGCCGAAGAAAGACGUAAUAAGUUGCGAAAAGCUGUGGUUAGGAGCAAAUAUCCAAUGAGCCACAGAUAUCUGAAUGCGGAAACGCGGCCGGACAAACUCCGGUCAUCACAUGGUGAAUAAAAUAGUCAUGUGAGGGGAACCUCCUGAACUGAAACAUCUAAGUAGGGAGAGGAAGAGAAAGAAAACUCGAUUUCCUAAGUAGCGGCGAGCGAACGGGAAAGAGCCCAAACCGACAUGCCUGGCAUGACGGGGUUCGGACUGACACAACGUUAAGAUAGGACAGGAGAAUGGAAUGGAAAGUCCAUCCAAAGAGCGUGAGAGACGCGUAUCCGAAGUCUGAAGAUUAAUAGUCAGUAUCCAGAGUACCACGAGACACGAGAAACCUGGUGGGAAAGAGCGGAGACCACUCCGUAAGGCUAAAUACUACUCAGUGACCGAUAGAGCAUAGUACUGUGAAGGAAAGGUGAAAAGAACCCCGGGAGGGGAGUGAAAGAGAACCUGAAACCCUGUGUUUACAAGCUGUCGAAGGACAUUAAUAGUCCGACGGCGUACUUUUUGUAGAACGGUCCGGCGAGUUGCCGGUGCAGGCAAGGUUAAGUGCCGGGAGGCAUGGAGCCGAAGUGAAAGCAAGCGUCAAAUGCGCGUCAAGUCUGUAUCGGCAGACCCGAAACCGGGUGAUCUACCCAUGGCCAGGAUGAAGUUACCGUAAAAGGUGAUGGAGGUCCGAACACACAUCUGUUGAAAAAGGUGGUGAUGAGCUGUGGGUAGGGGAGAAAUUCCAAUCGAACCCGGAGAUAGCUGGUUCUCCUCGAAAUAGCUUUAGGGCUAGCCUUGGACGAGUCUUACGGAGGUAGAGCACUGAAUAACCGCGGGGGCGUCACAGCCUACCAAAGUUUAUCAAACUGCGAAUGCCGUGUAGAUGUUGUCCAGGAGUCAGACUGGUCGAGAUAAGUUGGUCAGUCAAAAGGGAAAGAGCCCAGAUCUACAGCUAAGGUCCCAAAGUACAUGUUAAGUGGAAAAGGAUGUGGGAUUUCAUAAACAACUAGGAUGUUGGCUCAGAAGCAGCCAUACAUUUAAAGAGUGCGUAAUAGCUCACUAGUCGAGAGGUUCUGCGCCGAAAAUUUCCGGGGCUAAAACAUGGCACCGAAGCUUAGGAAUGUAGAGAUACAUUGGUAGAGGAGCAUUGCAUGAUCGUAGAAGCUGUACCGAUAAGGAGCAGUGGAGAUCAUGGAAGAGAGAAUGCCGGAAUGAGUAGCGAGAUUUAAGUAAGAAUCUUAAAGACCGAAUAUCCAAGGUUUCCAGGGUAAAGCUGAUCUUCCCUGGGUAAGUCGGGGCCUAAGGCGAGGGCGAAAGCCGUAGUCGAUGGACAACAGGUUGAAAUUCCUGUACUACAAGAUAACAGAACUGUGGGGACGCAGAACAGAAGUCAGAUCCGGGAAUGGAAAAACCGGAACAAGCGUCGAGGAAGGAGCAUAGGCAAAUCCGUGCUUCAAUUCCGGAGCGUGAUGUGGAGCGAAAUCAAGUAGCGAAGCUGACAUAUGGGCUGCCGAGAAAAGCCACUAUUGUUUAUCAUGUACCCGUACCGUAAACCGACACAGGUGGGUGAGGAGAGAAUCCUAAGGUCGACGGGAGAAGUGUUGUUAAGGAACUCGGCAAAACAACCCCGUAACUUCGGGAGAAGGGGUGCUGCCCUCAGGGGCAGCCGCAGAGAAAUGGCCCAAGCAACUGUUUAGCAAAAACAUAGGUCUAUGCGAAACCGAAAGGUGAAGUAUAUGGGCUGACGCCUGCCCGGUGCUGGAAGGUUAAGAGGAGAGGUUAGCGUAAGCGAAGCUUUGAAUUCAAGCCCCAGUAAACGGCGGCCGUAACUAUAACGGUCCUAAGGUAGCGAAAUUCCUUGUCGGGUAAGUUCCGACCCGCACGAAAGGCGUAAUGAUUUGGGCACUGUCUCGACAACACACCCGGUGAAAUUGAAAUACCAGUGAAGAUGCUGGUUACCUGCGCCAGGACGGAAAGACCCCAUGGAGCUUUACUCCAGCUUGAUACUGGGAUUCGGUACCAUCUGCACAGGAUAGGUGGGAGGCGAAGAAGAUAAUACUUAGGUAAUAUCAGAGCCGCUGUUGGGAUACCACCCUUAUGGUACUGAAUUUCUAACCCAUAGCCGUAAACCGGCGUGGGGACAAUGUCUGGCGGGGAGUUUGACUGGGGCGGUCGCCUCCGAAAGAGUAUCGGAGGCGCUCAAAGGUUCCCUCAGAAUGGUUGGAAACCAUUCGAAGAGUGCAAAGGCAGAAGGGAGCUUGACUGCGACACCGACGGGUGGAGCAGGU
This 2366-nucleotide ribosomal RNA is filed under the name metagenome. Its description in RNAcentral is "bacterial LSU rRNA". It matches the Rfam family "Bacterial large subunit ribosomal RNA", at positions 3 to 2398 of the family's 2925-position model. The record is from RNAcentral.